AUACGUAGGAGGCUAGCGUUGUCCGGAUUUACUGGGCGUAAAGGGGGCGCAGGUGGCUGGGUAGGUCCGUGGUGCAAGCUCCAGGCUUAACUUGGAGAGGUCCACGGAAACCGCUUGGCUUGAGGGCGGUAGAGGAGCACGGAAUUCCGGGUGUAGUGGUGAAAUGCGUAGAUAUCCGGAGGAACACCUGAGGCGAAAGCGGUGCUCUGGGCCGUUCCUGACACUCAGGCCCGAAAGCGUGGGGAGCAAACCGGAUUAGAAACCCGGGUAGUCC
RNAcentral lists this ribosomal RNA (274 nucleotides) under uncultured bacterium. Its description in RNAcentral is "partial 16S ribosomal RNA". It matches the Rfam family "Bacterial small subunit ribosomal RNA", at positions 523 to 796 of the family's 1533-position model. The record is from RNAcentral.